RNAcentral lists this transfer RNA (83 nucleotides) under Prevotellaceae bacterium. Its description in RNAcentral is "tRNA-OTHER". It matches the Rfam family "tRNA". From Rfam's summary of the family: Transfer RNA (tRNA) molecules are approximately 80 nucleotides in length. Their secondary structure includes four short double-helical elements and three loops (D, anti-codon, and T loops). The record is from RNAcentral. Lineage: Bacteria; Pseudomonadati; Bacteroidota; Bacteroidia; Bacteroidales; Prevotellaceae.
UCCGGCGUAGUUCAAUGGUUUAGAAUGGAUGCCAUGACACGUUGAAAAGGCAUACGAUGCAGGUUCGAAUCCUGCCGCCGGAG